UUUCUAUUUGCUUUACCAGCUUCUGAUUUCUUUCUCCACUCUGGUGUACUCCAAUAUGCAACAAGUGCAUUCCAUAUCUCUGCCUCCAUCCAAUCUGGUCCUAAAUUGUAUAGAUAAGCAACAUAUGUCUUCUUGUGCUUACGCAACAAUUCACUCCUAACUCUAUGAAGAAUGUCUCGCAGUCUUUCUUUUCCUACCUUUUCCCAAGCAGUUCGAAUCAUAUCUUCUUCACUCUCAUCCCAUACAUAUCGACUCUACAAACAACAAUUAGUGUUAUGUAAAUUUAAAAAACUUAAAAUGCAUAUUAGAAAUUUUAGAAUAUAAGUUGUAUUUACCCGAAAAAGUCCAAAGAGCUCGUCUUUUGUCUUUAAAGGUAUUUCUGACCAAGUUUUCCAUGGAGCAGUGUAGCGCAUCUUAAUGUCAUUACUGAUUGAUCUAGUAACUGUGGAAUCUAAAAAGCUACAAUAUUUUUAUACAUAAUUAGUAGUUGUAAGUAAUAAUACAUAUUAAAUCAAUAGCAAAAAGUUGUAUAU
This 533-nucleotide long non-coding RNA is filed under the name Manihot esculenta (cassava). RNAcentral describes it as "long non-coding RNA (MESC_LNC011343)". The record is from RNAcentral. Lineage: Eukaryota; Viridiplantae; Streptophyta; Magnoliopsida; Malpighiales; Euphorbiaceae.